Molecule: small nuclear RNA, 141 nt
Organism: Bubo bubo (Eurasian eagle-owl)
Lineage: Eukaryota; Metazoa; Chordata; Aves; Strigiformes; Strigidae
Gene: U4
Rfam family: U4 spliceosomal RNA
About the family: U4 small nuclear RNA (U4 snRNA) is a component of the major U2-dependent spliceosome.
Source: Ensembl
AGCUUUGCGCAGUGGCAGUAUCGUAGCCCGUGAGGUUUAUCCGAGGCGCGAUUAUUGCUAGUUGAAAACUUUUCCCAAUACCCCGCCAUGACGACUUGAAAUAUAGUCGGCAUAGGCAAUUUUUGAGGGUCUCUUCGGAGA